UACGUAGGUGGCAAGCGUUGUCCGGAUUUAUUGGGUUUAAAGGGUGCGUAGGUGGUUUGAUAAGUCAGUGGUGAAAGCUGGUUGCUCAACAAUCAAGUUGCCAUUGAUACUGUCAGACUUGAGAGAAGUGGAGGCUCAUGGAAUGGAUGGUGUAGCGGUGAAAUGCAUAGAUAUCAUCCAGAACGUCGAUUGCGAAGGCAGUGGGCUGUACUUUUUCUGACACUGAGGCACGAAAGCGUGGGGAUCAAACAGG
This 253-nucleotide ribosomal RNA is filed under the name uncultured bacterium. Its description in RNAcentral is "partial 16S ribosomal RNA". It matches the Rfam family "Bacterial small subunit ribosomal RNA", at positions 524 to 776 of the family's 1533-position model. The record is from RNAcentral.